Oxyura jamaicensis (ruddy duck) is the source of this 183-nucleotide long non-coding RNA. RefSeq lists it as uncharacterized. The transcript is spliced from 3 exons. The record is from RefSeq and is a predicted model, not a curated record. Lineage: Eukaryota; Metazoa; Chordata; Aves; Anseriformes; Anatidae.
UUAGCACUGGCACUGCUGAAUACUCUGUACCAGGCUGCAAUGGGUGCUGAAAGAUCCACACCUAGUGCUUCUGUAUGUCAUCUGCGGUAACAGCAUCACCUCCGUUCAAACAGUAGUGUAAUCAUUGCUUGGGUCAACAUUUUCAAGGGGCUCUCACAGCUUUAAAAAUGUGCAGACAGGGAA